Molecule: long non-coding RNA, 998 nt
Organism: Fukomys damarensis (Damara mole-rat)
Lineage: Eukaryota; Metazoa; Chordata; Mammalia; Rodentia; Bathyergidae
Exons: 3
Source: RefSeq, a predicted model, not a curated record
GCGGGGCGUGCGGGGCGUGAGGGGCGUUUCGGUGUGGGCUUCCUCGGCUUUGCCGGUGACCGGGAAUAGGGACCCUGGAGAGCCCGGCGUCCCUUGCUGUGGGUUCCCCGGGUCCCGCUUGAUUCAUCACAGUAUCUGCAGGAUCUGCACCCUGUCGGGCGCACACCCACCCCGUGUGCCGGAGCCCUCGUCCGUGCUGUGGACUGGAUUCCUGUCUUUGGCCCCAGGCUCUUUAGUUUGUAAGUUAGCACACCCCUCCAUCUCCAGACUCCAUGAGGACAGAAAACAAUACUAAGGACGGACUGUGGUCGGUGGGAGGCCUUAUGGGGAGCGCGCACCACACGCGAGCCAGGAAGAAGGAGGUGCGCCAAGGAGGAGGAGGCCGGCCCUGGCCGGGGCCUCGGAGCCAGCGUUCAAGGCCCACGUCCUGACCCUUGCAGUAUCGCCUCACAGGGCUCAUCAUGGUACAUCUGCGUGCACCGGGCCUGGAGAAAUCUGACUGUUGUCCUUUGGACUCUGACAACCUGUGUGGGCCUUUAGCACUCGCCUCCUCGCCAGGAGCAAAGCCCUGCAUGUCCUUAGAGAGCAGCAGAGCCCCUGCUCAGGCCCGCGCCAGCUGCCUCCUCUGUCUGCCUGCUGCCCUGGUCAUUCGUGAAACUCUUCCUGUCUUGCUGAGUAGGACCCAGUUGGGGGCUUCACUCAACAGCAGCUAAGGAGAAUUCCUGGCUCCCUGGGCCACAGGGCACGGGAUGAAGCGGGCGACCCUUCUUCUAGGGCCAAGGGAAUCAGCAAGGACCUCCACAGCAUUCUCACCCUGUCUGCUAACCACUGAAACAGCCUUGGAGCUCUUCAGAGGGGAGAGAGUUCAAGACUUUUCACAGACAUAAAUUAUCUUCUCCUAUUCCCUGUUGAGAGUUAAGCCUACUAAUGACUACUAAUGCCCGUUAGUACACAGAAGACAUUUUCUCAAGUAAAUCAGCCAUCAAAAAGCAGGAAAA